GAUGAACGCUGGCGGCGUGCUUAACACAUGCAAGUCGAACGGAAAGGCCCAAGCUUGCUUGGGUACUCGAGUGGCGAACGGGUGAGUAACACGUGGGUGAUCUGCCCUGCACUUCGGGAUAAGCCUGGGAAACUGGGUCUAAUACCGGAUAGGACGAUGGUUUGGAUGCCAUUGUGGAAAGUUUUUUCGGUGUGGGAUGAGCUCGCGGCCUAUCAGCUCGUUGGUGGGGUAAUGGCCUACCAAGGCGUCGACGGGUAGCCGGCCUGAGAGGGUGUACGGCCACAUUGGGACUGAGAUACGGCCCAGACUCCUACGGGGGGCAGCAGUGGGGAAUAUUGCACAAUGGGCGCAAGCCUGAUGCAGCGACGCCGCGUGGGGGGUGACGGCCUUCGGGUUGUAAACUCCUUUCGCUAGGGACGAAGCGUUUUUGUGACGGUACCUGGAGAAGAAGCACCGGCUAACUACGUG
This 468-nucleotide ribosomal RNA is filed under the name uncultured bacterium. RNAcentral's name for it is "partial 16S ribosomal RNA". It matches the Rfam family "Bacterial small subunit ribosomal RNA", at positions 28 to 507 of the family's 1533-position model. The record is from RNAcentral.